AAUCAACGCUGGCGGCGUGCCUCAGACAUGCAAGUCGAACGAUUAAACUUUCCUUCGGGAAAGAUAUAAAGUGGCGCACGGGUGAGUAACACGUAGGUAAUGUACCUUUGGGUGGGGAAUAACUUAGGGAACUUAAGCUAAUACCGCAUAAUGCAGCGGCUCCUUCGGGAGACAGUUGUUAAAGAUUUAUCGCCUAAAGAGCAGCCUGCGGCAGAUUAGCUAGUUGGUAAGGUAACGGCUACCAAGGCUACGAUCUGUAUCCGACCUGAGAGGGUGGUCGGACACACUGACACUGAAUAACGGGUCAGACUCCUACGGGA
RNAcentral lists this ribosomal RNA (320 nucleotides) under uncultured bacterium. Its description in RNAcentral is "bacterial SSU rRNA". It matches the Rfam family "Bacterial small subunit ribosomal RNA", at positions 32 to 346 of the family's 1533-position model. The record is from RNAcentral.